UUUUUUCAUGCCCUCAUCAAUGAUUUAUUGUUGAACAGUACUAUGGACCAGGAGAUAAAUCACACAGGAAAGAAGAAUCUUGUUGCUGAAAGGUAUUGAGGAAAUACAGUGCUUUGAGAUUGUUUUUAAAUAAUUGGAGGAAUUAAGAGAAUAAUCAGGAAUUAUAAAUUUGAAUUCUGGCAUGGGCACUGAACCAAUGUAAGACUGCGUAAAGUUGGUUGACUAUCCAAGUGUUUUCAUUUUCCCAUUCAUAUGUAAAGGCCUUAGGUAAAAUGCACUAAAAAUAAGCCAGAUACUAUUUCUAGUCCUGAAGUCAUCCUGAACAGUAUCUCCAGAAUGGAUAUCGUCCUCAAUGAAAAUCAGGUGAUUUGCUAAGAUUAGAAGGGGAAAUAAAUCAGCUAAGUAAUGCUUAUGUCAUUCACAAGAAACCAAAGUGAACAUCAAGAGACGUUAUGAAGGUAGGUGUUCCUAUCCACAUAUAGCACUGGGAGCUAGUACUGCAGGUAGACUGUAGAUGCAGUUACCCAGUUGAAUAUUUAAAUACGUCCUUAUUUGACUGUGCAAUCACACAGCCAAAUAUAUUCAAGGGUAGUUUCCUUUAUAAGAAAAAAAAGACUAAAUGAAAUGCUCAAAGAUGACAUUAGCUCAAUUUUAUGUUUGAAAACUUAAUUGCACCCAAGUGAGAAAAUACAAAAUUAAAGUUCUCACUGCAAGAAUUGAGCCUUACAGCACCUCGUAACAAGAAGAGAUUUUACCACACAUGUUGGAACUCAAUGAGAUGUGUGUACUGAAACCUAGACUGGAAAACUGCCUGCAAACCCAUUACUGCCCCUCUCCGAGAGUUUGAAGGGUAAGCCUUCUUUUGAGAUUAUACAGAGGUUUUAUCUUGAGAGUUACACCUAGGAUUUGCACCGUGGAUUGCACCAUCUAGUUAAUGUCCUACUGGAUAGUAACUCAUAUAAUUUUAUAUAAAAACAAUUUUGUCUUUCUGAUCCCUCUAUACUGUGUCUACCAAGACACCCCUAUGAAUUAAAAAAAAUGAGACAAAGGCUAUGUGAAUGUUGGAAGUGAAACCUCAGGCCCUGUGGUCCUGCUUUAUUAUUAGAGCACAUGAGUGACUAGAGAAGCCACUAACUGUGGUGACCUUCAACCCUUUUCAUUGCUUCUGGUUUAAAUUCUGAUACAUGUCUCUCCUUUGGAGACUUCUGGAGGCUUAGAAAUACCUGAUGUCGCUUCUUCACACCCAAACUAGCCCAGAAGAGCCUAGGUUCCUGUCUUCUUUCUGCAGUAUUGUCUCCUGAGUUCCUGAGGUCAACUGGAGCUGUGGAAAAUUGUUUACUGUCUUUCUGAAAUGCCUUCUAGAAUCCAGGAAAGAAGAAAUGAGCUGUCUACUGAAAUAGAGUCUGGAGACCUUUUGCCUAGAAUUCCCCUGAUGUGACUUAAUCCCUUCCCACUGUUGUACACUUUAGGAGUACAGGCAAUAAAGAAAGCAAGCAUUGCCUGUGUCACUACCAAGGCCUGCUUGUCAAUCUGUUCUUCAAUCUAAUUUUUUAAAAGAUUUUAUUUAUUUACUUGACAGAGAAAGCGAGCAAGCACAAGCAGGGGGAGCCGCAGAGGGAGAGGAAGAAGCAGGCUCCCUGCUCAGCCAGAUUCAUAUGACCUGAGCCGAAGGCAGAGCUUAACUGACUGAGCCACAGACACCUCUGUUCUUCAAUCAUUUAUCCAACAAACUGUAACUAUGAGUCUAUCAUAGUGCUAGUCUCUAGGACAUUCAAAGAUGAUUAAGGUAUUGUCCAUACUCUAAAGGGGCUCACACUAGUUUGAGAGAUGAUGUUUGUACACAUAUAUAUUCAUAAAAAAUCAGCUAGAAAGCGAUGGGUGCUAUGGGAGAAACCCAAGUACCAGGAGGAUUCAGAUUUGAGAGGAGGCCUCAAGAAAGGAGUGGUGGUUGAGCUGGCCCUUGAAAGGGAAGAGUAUGGCAUGGGGAGCCACAAGAUGCUGGUGCCACUGAUAGGAUGUCAGUAGAUAAAGAGAAAAGACAGGGAUUUGGGGGGUGGUUGUGGUGGGUGUGUGCUAAGGGCUGAGGCAGCAGGUAGGAGGUAAAGGAGAGAUAAUGCCACUGGUUCUGGACAUGUUGAGUUUGAAAUUGCAGUUGGAGAUCCCAGUAGAGCGUUCCAGCAGGCAAAAAGAGCAGUCCUGAGAAAGUUUAAACUUGGGAUCAUGUCUGCACAAAGAGGCCUGUUGAGAUAUUGGAUGUUGCUUAGGAACUGGAGCUAAGCCCUACAGCAAAGCAAUUAACACUCAGCAACAGAUACUAAUGUCUUCGUUACUUGCAGGCAGGCCAUAUACCAAGACACGGAGAAAUUCAGCUUUUUAGAAAUCUGGGGAGACUCUUUCCUAGAUUAGAGAAGUAAGGCCAGUCUCUGGUGAGUGGAUCCUGGUGGAGCAUUUCGGUAUACUGAGCCCCAUGAGUAUAUGAUUAUAAGCUCAUCUGUCCCUUUAAAAAAAAAAAAAAAAAAAG
RNAcentral lists this long non-coding RNA (2521 nucleotides) under Canis lupus familiaris (dog). Its description in RNAcentral is "lncRNA (ENSCAFG00845021650.1)". Lineage: Eukaryota; Metazoa; Chordata; Mammalia; Carnivora; Canidae. The record is from RNAcentral.